RNAcentral lists this long non-coding RNA (451 nucleotides) under Marmota monax (woodchuck). The record is from RNAcentral. Lineage: Eukaryota; Metazoa; Chordata; Mammalia; Rodentia; Sciuridae.
GGUUUCCAGUCGAACUCCAGACAUGUUAACCAUGCAUGUAUAUUGACUUUCAUGCUAUGUGUGUUAGGUAUGUAUUAAACAUAAAUUUCUUGUUUAGACUUGGGUCCCAUCCCCAAAAUAUUUUGUCCUAUAUAUACUGAUGUUCCAAAAUCUGAGAGUCCAAAAUCCAUAAUACUUUUGGUUCCUAAGGUUUCAGAUAAGAGAGACUUAUCCUGUUUUGCUUCUGUGAUAACGAAGCUUAAUUGUUCCAGGCCAAGCAUUAGGGAGACACCAGGGGAUUUGUUGGACAUGGUCCCUGCCCUUAAGGCUCCUAUUGCCUUUCUAUUUCCAGGACCUGAGCAAUUUCGCCCUUCAUUUGUCUUUCUGUCUUUCAAACAUAUCCUGUGAGGUUUUAGGCAGUACUGUUUCUCCAUAUUUAACGAAUUCAGAGUCUUUCCUGUCUUUCCAUUUC